GCUUAACACAUGCAAGUCGAGCGGGCCCUUCGGGGUCAGCGGCGGACGGGUGAGUAACGCGUGGGAACGUGCCCUCUGGUCUGGAAUAACUCAGGGAAACUUGAGCUAAUACCGGAUACGCCCUUUUGGGGAAAGGCUUGCUGCCGGAGGAUCGGCCCGCGUCUGAUUAGCUAGUUGGUGGGGUAACGGCCUACCAAGGCGACGAUCAGUAGCUGGUCUGAGAGGAUGAUCAGCCACACUGGGACUGAGACACGGCCCAGACUCCUACGGGAGGCAGCAGUGGGGAAUAUUGGACAAUGGGCGCAAGCCUGAUCCAGCCAUGCCGCGUGAGUGAUGAAGGCCUUAGGGUUGUAAAGCUCUUUUAUCCGGGACGAUAAUGACGGUACCGGAGGAAUAAGCCCCGGCUAACUUCGUGCCAGCAGCCGCGGUAAUACGAAGGGGGCUAGCGUUGCUCGGAAUCACUGGGCGUAAAGGGCGCGUAGGCGGCGUUUUAAGUCGGGGGUGAAAGCCUGUGGCUCAACCACAGAAUGGCCUUCGAUACUGGGACGCUUGAGUAUGGUAGAGGUCGGUGGAACUGCGAGUG
Molecule: ribosomal RNA, 583 nt
Filed under: uncultured bacterium
Lineage: Bacteria
Description: bacterial SSU rRNA
Rfam family: Bacterial small subunit ribosomal RNA
Source: RNAcentral